AAAAAACUCACACAAAACCCUUACCACAAAGAAGAUACGCACAAAACUAUUACCACCAAGAAGACACACACAAAGCCCUACCAUGUAUUCUAUACGAUACAUGAUAUCUAUAUGUAAUCUAUAAAAGGUUGGUGUUGUAUAAGUUAUCAUUUUACCCAUUGCUUAUAUUGCUUACAUUUUAGUUUUUACUUUUUGAUUCUCC
RNAcentral lists this long non-coding RNA (202 nucleotides) under Cicer arietinum (chickpea). Its description in RNAcentral is "long non-coding RNA (CARI_LNC002461)". Lineage: Eukaryota; Viridiplantae; Streptophyta; Magnoliopsida; Fabales; Fabaceae. The record is from RNAcentral.